Long non-coding RNA from Suricata suricatta (meerkat), 393 nucleotides. RefSeq lists it as uncharacterized. NCBI's taxonomy places the organism in Eukaryota, Metazoa, Chordata, Mammalia, Carnivora, Herpestidae. The record is from RefSeq and is a predicted model, not a curated record. The transcript has 2 exons.
GCCCAGGGAGAGACCUAUGGAAAAAGAACCACAGCCUUGGCUGAGCUCCCAUCAUCAGCCAGCAUCAGCUUGCCAGUCAUGUGAGGAAGCCGUCUUGAAAGUCCAUCUGGAUGUUAGAAGAGUCACCAUAUUGUGAUGGCAAAGUUAAGAUCAAACACUGGCUGCAGGAGAGAGGACACAAUUCUGUGAGCUGAAAACCAUCCCCAGGAAAGAGAACUGCCCUGCCCACUGAGUGGAAUGUUUGGUGCCCAAGCUCUGUGGUUGAAAGGGAGACUCUGAAAACUGCCUGGGGCACUCAAGUAAUUGGCAAAGACUCAGCUUUCCUAGACUCUCAGCCCUGCCACUUGCCAUGUUCCUCAGGCAUGAGCCUGAAUGUAUCCCUCGUUUUCUGCA